AAAGCGUGCGCAGGCGGUUGUGUAAGUCAGAUGUGAAAUCCCCGGGCUCAACCUGGGAAUUGCAUUUGAGACUGCACGGCUAGAGUGUGUCAGAGGGGGGUAGAAUUCCACGUGUAGCAGUGAAAUGCGUAGAUAUGUGGAGGAAUACCGAUGGCGAAGGCAGCCCCCUGGGAUAACACUGACGCUCAUGCACGAAAGCGUGGGGAGCAAACAGGAUUAGAUACCCUAGU
Molecule: ribosomal RNA, 230 nt
Filed under: uncultured bacterium
Lineage: Bacteria
Description: partial 16S ribosomal RNA
Rfam family: Bacterial small subunit ribosomal RNA
Source: RNAcentral